Long non-coding RNA from Poeciliopsis prolifica (blackstripe livebearer), 556 nucleotides. RefSeq lists it as uncharacterized. Lineage: Eukaryota; Metazoa; Chordata; Actinopteri; Cyprinodontiformes; Poeciliidae. The record is from RefSeq and is a predicted model, not a curated record. The transcript has 3 exons.
CAACACAUGGAAGAACUUACCCUCCAGCCAGAGCCCAACUGAUUCAGUUUGUCCAAUGAUGAUGAAGUCACUUCAACUCUGCUCAAGAGUCAAGAUGGCGCCAACCAACUGGGUGGAUUCUUGGUCUGUUCAGUUUCAGGACUUACGGAAAUUAUUCCUAGUGGUAAACAUGCUAGUUUUGAAGAUGAACAGUCCUCUCCCAGCCUCAGCAGGUAGAAUGCGAAAGGCUCUUCGGCAUCGCAAGAUUUGUGGAAAGAUUUCCCUUGAAACAAUUCAGGACACCAGAUUCUGGCAGCUUAAACGGAACCAGAUGUUUGAAUAAAGAAGUAAUUUGUGUCCAGCGGCUAAUAGGACGAGAUUGCCAUGUUUCUGGUUGCAUCCUCUGAAGGCGAAUAAACAUCCCCAUCGGCACUUGAGAAAAGAAGCGAGUGGAAUUAGAGAGGUGAGUGAAAGUCAAACAUGCACCAGCCGCCUCGUCUGCCGAAGAGAGACCAGCCUGAACAAAUGAGUUGGAAAAAGAUGGUGUGCUCUGGGAUUGGCUAGAGCAACACCAGAA